CAGAGCACUCCUGACGGGGGGCAGCAGUGGGGAAUAUUGGACAAGUGGGGCAACCCUGAUCCAGCCAUGCCGCGUGCGUGAAGAAGGCCUUAGGGUUGUAAAGCGCUUUCACCCGUGACGAUGAUGACGGUAGCGGGAGAAGAAGCCCCGGCUAACUCCGUGCCAGCAGCCGCGGUAAUACGGGAGGGGCGAGCGUUGUUCGGAAUUACUGGGCGUAAAGGGCGCGUAGGCGGCGGUUCAAGUGCAGGGGUGAAAGGCCUGGGCUCAACCUAGGAACUGCCCUUGAGACUGGAUUGCUAGAGACCGGGAGAGGAUGGUGGAAUUCCCAGUGUAGAGGUGAAAUUCGUAGAUAUUGGGAAGAACACCGGUGGCGAAGGCGGCCAUCUGGACCGGAUCUGACGCUGAGGCGCGAAAGCGUGGGGAGCAAAACAGGAUUAGAUACCCUGGUAG
RNAcentral lists this ribosomal RNA (450 nucleotides) under uncultured bacterium. RNAcentral's name for it is "bacterial SSU rRNA". It matches the Rfam family "Bacterial small subunit ribosomal RNA", at positions 329 to 793 of the family's 1533-position model. The record is from RNAcentral.